This is an RNA transcript of Tribolium castaneum (red flour beetle), 1367 nucleotides long. RefSeq lists it as hypothetical. The transcript is spliced from 3 exons. Lineage: Eukaryota; Metazoa; Arthropoda; Insecta; Coleoptera; Tenebrionidae. The record is from RefSeq and is a predicted model, not a curated record.
AGUAAUUUUUGUAUUAAGUGCGCGAAAUGAGUGUUUUUUUAAUGGCGCCUGAGAAUGUUAUUUUAGUCGAGACCGCCAGGUCGAGACCUAAAAGACAUUCGAAGGCGCCAUUAAAACAUGAAUUUCGCCACGAAAUACAAACAACGUUUUUUCUACAGCCUCCAGAUGAAGAAAAAAGUAACAGAAAUUAGUUGGAACAAAAUGGUCUGAUAAAUCGAGUUGCUUGCAUGGUUACGAUGAUAAAUAAAAGUGAUAGUUGCGAAAAAUUUGUCACAAUAGGUAUUUUUGUUGAAGAAGUGUGAUGGAUUUUAGCAGCGAAAACGAAAUAGAUGCAAUUGCAAGCGCGGCAGUGUCGAAUCUUUUGCCUGCUAAAUCAAGACCGCAGUACGAAAAAACGUAUCUUCAGUUUCGGCAGUGGUGUUCUAUGAAAAAGAUUGAUCAAGUAACGGAAAAUGUUUUGUUGGCGUAUUUGGAAGAAAAGUCUACCACCUUAAAGCCACCAACACUCUGGGCCCUUUAUGCGAUGUUGAAAGCCACCUUAAACGUUAAAGAGAAUAUCGAUACACAAGCAAGAAGUCGCAAAUUUUAGACAAAGAAGACAUUAGCAAGUUUAUUAAUGAAGCAGAUGACAAGAUAUAUUUACUGAUGAAGACUGUGCUAAUUUUGGGUAUAUCGGGAGCCCUUCGACGUGAAGAAUUAGUUAAAAUGAAGCUAACUGACAUAGAAGAUAAACAGUCUGUCUUAAUUGUGAAGGUGCCUGAUACAAAAACCCACUGCGAACGAAUAUUUACUGUUUCAAAUUUAGAAAAUAUAGAAAUUGUCAGAAAAUAUAGAGCUUUGCGGCCUCCACGGGCGACUAGUGACCGUUUAUUUUUAAAGUAUACCAACGGAAAAUGUGUGAAUCAAAAUGUUGGAAUUAACAAAAUCGGAGAGAUACCAAGUUUGAUUGCAAAGUGGCUUAACAAAGACGAACCUAAAAAAUAUACUGGUCACUGCUUCAGAAGAAGCUCUGCCACUCUUUUGGCGAAUGCUGGAGGUGAUCUAAUUUCAAUUAAACGUCAUGGGGGCUGGAGAAGCAGCACAGUGGCAGAAAGUUACAUCGAGGACUCUUUGAAUAAUAAAAUUGAAAUUGCCAAUAAAAUUCAACCUUCUUCCUCCACAGAAGAAAACAAAAUCACUCAACCUUCUACAUCGGCUUCUUUUAAUGGCGAAAAUAACUUUCAUUUACAAGCGUCUUCAUUCAGGCCUCUGGGGAUAAACGGGGGCACGUUUUCGUCAUGCACAUUUAAUUUUCAUAUGUCAAAGUAAAUAUCUAUUAUUAUUGUUUUGUAAUAUUGUUCUGUAUAAUUAUAAAACCUUUAAAACUA